This 1195-nucleotide ribosomal RNA is filed under the name uncultured Metopus. RNAcentral's name for it is "SSU rRNA". It matches the Rfam family "Eukaryotic small subunit ribosomal RNA", at positions 111 to 1371 of the family's 1831-position model. Lineage: Eukaryota; Ciliophora; Armophorea; Metopida; Metopidae. The record is from RNAcentral.
GACGAGCUAUUUGAUGGAUUCAGAUAUGGAUAACCGUAGUAAUUCUAGAGCUAAUACAUGCUUGAAAGCCUGACUUACGAAGGGCUGCAUUUAUUAGAUAAAGCCAGCAUUUAGGUGAUUCAUAAUAAUUUAGCGAAUCGCGGAUUUUCUGCGAUAUAUCAUUCAAGUAUCUGCCCUAUCAGCUCUGAUGGUAGUGUAUUGGACUACCAUGGCUUUUACGGGUAACGGAGAAUUAGGGUUCGGUUCCGGAGAAAGAGCCUGAGAAACGGCUAUUACAUCUAAGGACGGCAGCAGGGGCGUAAAUUACCCAAUCUUAAUUUAAGGAGGUAGUGACAAGAAAUAUCGACAUUGGAGCAAUCCAAGAUCGGAAUGGGCUUAAUUUAAAUCCCUAAGUGAGUAACCAUUGGAGGGCAAGUCUGGUGCCAGCAGCCGCGGUAAUUCCAGCUCCAAUAGCGUAUAUUAAAGUUGUUGCAGUUAAAAAGCUCGUAGUUGGAACUCUGGAGUGCCGGCUUUGGACUAUCGUCCAAGGUUUGGUAUUUCCAUCCUUCUGUUAACUCAAGUUACCGCAAGGUCGCUUGGGGGCUCAGAUAUUUUACCUUGAGAAAAUUAGAGUGUUUCAGGCAGGCAAGGCCAGAAUACUACAGCAUGGAAUAAUAGAAUUGACGCAACUCUGUGGUUGGCCAGAGAAGUGUAAUGAUUAAUAGGAACAGUUGGGGGCAUUAGUAUUUAAUUGUCAGAGGUGAAAUUCUUGGAUUUGUUAAAGACUAACUAAAGCGAAAGCAUUUGCCAAGGAUGUUUUCAUUAAUCAAGAACGAAAGUUAGGGGAUCAAAGACGAUCAGAUACCGUCGUAGUCUUAACCAUAAACGAUGCCGACUAGAGAUCGGAGGAGAUUAUCGAGCUCCUUCGGGAUCAUAGGAGAAAUCAAAGUCUUUGGGUCUGGGGGGAGUAUGGUCGCAAGGCUGAACUUGCAGGAUUUGACGGAAGGGCACCACAGGAGUGGAGCCUGCGGCUUAAUCUGACUCACACGGAGAAAUUUACCAGGGUCAGACAUUGCGCAAGAUUGACAGAUUGAAUAGCUCUUUCUUGAUUCUAUGCGCGUGUGGUGCAUGACCGUUCUAACUGGCGGCAUGGCAGUAGUCUGUGUAAUUCCGUAAUUCACACGAACUUUAACCUCAACACCACUCCUUUACAGAU